Arabidopsis thaliana (thale cress) is the source of this 960-nucleotide RNA transcript. RefSeq lists it as uncharacterized. The transcript has a single exon. The record is from RefSeq. Lineage: Eukaryota; Viridiplantae; Streptophyta; Magnoliopsida; Brassicales; Brassicaceae.
UUGGUGCAUCUAUCUUCUUCUUCCCCCUUCCUCUCUUAGCUUCUCUCCCACCACUAAGGAGAAACGUUCCAAAGAUCCCUCUCUCAGAAAAAUCUCCAAGAAAACGAAACCCUAAUGGAGAAUCAUUCUGAUCCCUGAAACUUUUGGCUUGCGGCUGAAUCGAUUUCAAGAUUGCAAGUAUUGCCUAGUGUGAAUAUGCUGUUGCUGUGUGAUGCUUUGGUUAAGGAAGUGACUGUUGAAUGCUGAAAGGACGACUUGGAACCUUAUCUCGGGUUGCAUUACUCGGCAAACUUCGAUAUUUCUUUAUAUGAGAAACAAGGUUACGAUGAUUUCAAGAACUGUGCUAAUCUUUGCCCAAGAUUUACAUGUAAAUGGUACUGAUUGAGUGUUAAAAGGAAGAAGCUUCAUACAUACAAUAUACAUUGAUCGGAUAUAGUUUUAGAGUAGGUUCCGAGUUCCAAAACAAAGUGAACUAUACUGAGUAUUUCAACAUAGAAAAGUUAUAAAAUUGACAUCCUUUGCAAAGUAAAAGCCAUAUCAUAACAAAAAAAUCGGAACAUUUAACCGAAAACAGAGACAACCCACAAAAGAAGAAGAAGAAUGCUAAAAUUGAGAAGCACUGAUGGAGUUGGUCGAAGGGGACCAAACGGAAGGGAAUAUAUCUUCUAUAGACUGCUUACGAGUUAUGAAUUGAGUUGCGUCAACGUGUGAUUCUGAUCCGGCUGAAGGAAAGGCCGCUUCAUGUGAAUACGCACAUGGUUCCUUGUACGCCUCUCUUUCCGAAACGUUGGCUGCAACUUCGUAUGAUUGUAUUUGUAGCGGGCCUAGCGGCAUUAGUUUCAGAUGGCUGAUGAUUUUCUUGAAAUUUUUUGGUGGAAGCGAAUUAGAGAUAACAUACUUCGGAGGAUAUGCAUUUUAAUAACAUAUUUAUAAGUUUUGAGUAUCGCAUAUUACGAAAAC